GCCGGGCAUGGUGGCGCAUGCCUGUAAUUCCAGCUACUUGGGAGGCUGAGGCAAGAGAAUUGCUUGAACCUAGGAGACAGAGGUUGCAGUGAGCUGAGAUCAUGCCACUGCACCCUAGCCUGGGUUACAGAGUGAGACUCGGUCUCAA
Molecule: non-coding RNA, 148 nt
Organism: Gorilla gorilla gorilla (western lowland gorilla)
Lineage: Eukaryota; Metazoa; Chordata; Mammalia; Primates; Hominidae
Rfam family: Metazoan signal recognition particle RNA
About the family: The signal recognition particle (SRP) is a universally conserved ribonucleoprotein. It is involved in the co-translational targeting of proteins to membranes.
Source: Rfam